UAGUCAUACAAGCAGACAAAACACUCAUACA
Molecule: non-coding RNA, 31 nt
Filed under: Mus musculus (house mouse)
Lineage: Eukaryota; Metazoa; Chordata; Mammalia; Rodentia; Muridae
Source: RNAcentral